CAGGCUUCCUUGGACUCACAGGAUUGCACAAAAGGCUGCCGCCUGCAUGUCCUCAGCUCCUGCACUGCUGCCAGCAGGGGCAUGAAAUCCAGCUCAUCAGAGCCUCCUCCAGUGUUGGCUACCUCCUCGUAGAUAUAAAAUUGCCAGAUAACAUCUGGAAUAUUCAGCCAAAUCCAAAUAUCAGGUCAAAGGGAGCUCAGCAAGGAAUGAGGAACAAUGCUCUGAACUCCAACCGACAUACAGAGAACUGCUUGAUUGCCCAGUGGUCUUCCCAAUCAUUGAUGAGGCUCUCAUAGAAUUCACCACAUUCCUCUUGAGUGAUGUCAUCAGUGUUUCUUGACCAAAUAAACAUAGUCUUAUU
RNAcentral lists this long non-coding RNA (361 nucleotides) under Rattus norvegicus (Norway rat). RNAcentral describes it as "long non-coding RNA NONRATT016883". The record is from RNAcentral. Lineage: Eukaryota; Metazoa; Chordata; Mammalia; Rodentia; Muridae.